AACGCACCUUGCGCUCCUUGGCCAUUCCGAGGAGCAUGCCUGUUUGAGUGUCAUUAUAUUCUCAACCCCCACCAGCUUUGCUGGAGAGGGCUUGGAUGUGGAGGUUUUGCUGGUCCGCUUGGGUCCGCUCCUCUGAAAUGCAUUAGCGGAACCGUUUGUGAUCCGUCACAGGUGUGAUAAAUAUCUACGCCAGUGGGUCGCUUUCUGUGUGUUCUGCUCACAACCGUCCGGCAGCGGACAACUGUAAUUGAACGUUUGACCUCAAAUCAGGUAGGACUACCCGCUGAACUUAA
RNAcentral lists this unclassified non-coding RNA (293 nucleotides) under uncultured Agaricales. RNAcentral describes it as "sequence contains 5.8S rRNA gene, ITS2, 28S rRNA gene". The record is from RNAcentral. Lineage: Eukaryota; Fungi; Basidiomycota; Agaricomycetes; Agaricales.